This 71-nucleotide transfer RNA is filed under the name Loxodonta africana (African savanna elephant). It matches the Rfam family "tRNA". Rfam says of the family: Transfer RNA (tRNA) molecules are approximately 80 nucleotides in length. Their secondary structure includes four short double-helical elements and three loops (D, anti-codon, and T loops). Lineage: Eukaryota; Metazoa; Chordata; Mammalia; Proboscidea; Elephantidae. The record is from Rfam by way of RNAcentral.
GCCGUGGUAGCUAAUUGUCUAGUGCUCAGUUGCUAACUGAAAAGUUGGUGGUUUGAACCCACCCAGCAGCU